GUUACGGGGUGGGGGGAAGGGUCCGCUAGGGGCGUGCGGGACCCGUUGCUCUGCCUUUCGUUGUGCUCGCGCCGCCGCACGCGUCUUCGGAGGGCGGGGGGCGCGCGAGGCGGCGUGUGGUGAUCUGUGGACUUGACCUCCCAUCCAGUCUGAAGCUUCAUCACACCAGCCUGCGACUGGCCGUCUUGCUGCUGUGUCUCCUCCUCCUCCCUGCUGCCUUCCCAUUGCCUCCAUCUAGUCCAUGUGUCAACACCAAGAUAUGGACAAUGCAAGUAGCACAUCCAUUGUUACCAGUUAGAUUUUUUUCAGCUUUUCUCAAUCCCUUGCCCAGCAUCUCUUUGAAAAAGUACACUGCUGCUUGCCGUGAGCUACAGCAGAUUUUAAGAAUCAUUACCUACAGGUGAACCUCAUAAUUUUACCAAGAAAUUGAAGCUAUUGUUCAAUAAUGAAAGGAAUAAUUACAGUGGGUUGAUACAGCUUGAAAUUUUACCUAUUAUGGUUUUACCUUCAGAGAUGAGUAGGAGUUAUAUUUAGUGGUGUGACACUCAUGCCCUCCAUAAAGGCGUUCCUGGAAUGGUAGUGGGUUUCGUUCCUUACCUGUGGGGCUCAAGUUGAUGUACUCAGGAAGUACACAGCCGCAAACACUGUCAAGUCAAACCACAUUCAUCUAUCUCUCCUAUCCAGUGGCUGAUUAUGAUUCAUCUUCAUAGUAAUCAGACCAUCUCACCGAAGUAUCCAGUAUCGAAGUGAUAUGGCAAUUCUGCAAGGAGGUGUCAUCAUUUAUGUGAACUCUACACCAGAACUGAAACAUCUACUAGGACACAUAUGAGGUGCUCACAUACCAGUGUGACAUACAAAUGUCAUAAAGCAGAAUUAUGGGUACAGGUAUUUGAAAAUGCAACUAACUGUUUCUGUUCAAUUUAUUACAAACUUGCACCACCUGAAGAAGAAAGACUGGGAGAGAAAAAAAAAGGCCUAGGACAGAAUGGCAGAUACCUUUCUUAGGUAUUUCAUAUUAUUCAUAUGAUAGUGCACAACGCUCUUAUCAAAGUCUAUAACUACAGCAAAGCAGAUCAUCCUUUUCAUCUGGAGAAGAGAUCUAAUGAAGACGUCAACAUAGACUGGAUGCAUUUCUUUUUCCAUUGGUGAACCCAGUUAGAUCUAAUAUUGUUACUUGUUAUAGUCACAAAAUCCAUGCCUAAAUUAGGUUAGCAUUAGCAUGUACUUUAUUUCAUCAAUAGUAGUUAAAUGUCUUUGUUUUCAAGAGGCUGAAUAAAGACAUCCAGCUAAAACUACUUUGUUGCUUAGGGGUUUUUUUCUUACCAGCCCUUUUUUUCAGGCUCUCAAGUUCUUGUGCCUAAUCUUUUGCUGCUACUGUACAAUGACCCACAAUCUUAUAUCUGUGAGGUAUGUUCUUUUGAGGAAAAUGGGGGAAAAAACAUUAUGUACCAUACCCUAAGAUUUCUGUCACAGAGACUAGUGAAAAAACACACAAAAAAAAAACCCGUUUUACACAUUUCAAGGAAGGAAAGGAAUCUGGGUCUGAGGAAGUUGGGUUACAAAAAACAAACUCUGGAAGACACAAGCAUUUCUAAUCUGGAUUAAUACUAUUUCUUCACAUGGUUUUUUACUGGCAGUAAGAUCAAGGGUUUUUUUCUGCUAUUAUUCUGUUUUCUGUUUGUUUCUCUCUUGUAAAUCUUGCACGUAAAUAGUUAUCCAUUGUAGCACAUAUUAAUUCCAUUGUCAUUGUACUAUUUUUGUUUUGGCUUUCCCCAAGCCGCUUUUACUGAACUAGUGCUUCCUCACACAGUGAGGAGGAAGAGAGCAUUGCUUCCUUCUACCAUUUUUAUCCAGGCUUCUGAUGUAUGCUGCCCUGUUAUAUAUAUAAGGUGUUAUCAUCGUACAAUAUAUUUUACUUUUGGGCCAUAGCUAUGCAUUUCACAAAUUUUCAGCUCUCAGAAUCUCAUUUUCACAUAGACCUUUAAUUCUCACGCUUUGCUGGUUUUAGGUACAUUUAUAGUACACAAAUUCUAGGUCUACAGAUGCUGUUUGGGGCUAUCUUAACUGUGAACCAGAAAUGCUCCUCAGUGUACAUGUAAAUCCUGGACCCUUGAUGAGGCAGGCUGGGAAAAUCCCACAUCAAAUUUCUUCCCAGUGAAAACUAGGUCACAGAAAGGAUAGACAGAGUCUGUACAAUGAUAAGGUAUGUGCCCAGACCCAGGAAUCAGGAGUACUUUUGGAUGCCAAAGAUUAGGUGUAAUCUGUAAUUGUCCAUACCUCCUAAUAGUCUCCCUGCAAGUAAUGUCCAAAUGGCUCCUUCACUUCCAUUCACUUGGUUUCCAUUCCAUUCAAAAAGUCUGGUAUCAGGACAGGUUGUGUCGUUGGUGUCGUGUGGUUAGCAUCCUACUGGCACAACCUCGUAGAUGGUUCUGCAAAGCUGAUUGUCACUUGAAGGUUUGUGCAGUUUUGCACAUUGGCCUGUGUAUCUGGUCAUGCUGCCCUCCUCCAGUUCAGUAUUGUGGCCCCACCUUCCCGGAAUCAGUCAUUUCAGACUUAAACCACUCAAACCGAAAUUGCUCUCACUGUCACAGGAAUUACAAAACUGCUUGGCACUUACACAGACUUGAACAACAUUUCUUUUCCCUACCAUUCCAUUUUCUGAAUGAAGUACAGCUCCUAAUAGGCAAGCAUCACCAGAAUAUCAGUACAGAGCAAUACCUUCACUCCUUAUUUCUAGACAAACAUCCUUCUUUGUUUUGGCCUGAUCACUAUUGAUAUUCAAAAUGCAUCUGAAAUUACUGGUUUGGUUUUGUUUCCUCUGCUAACUUAAUUUUCUUCAUUUCUGUAUGCAGGAGUAACGCUUCUAAGGCCACAGUAACCACAGUAGCCCCUAGGAGAAGCCCAGUAAGCAUCAGCAGUUGAAAACAGCAGCAAAAUUAGACUUCAAAGUGAGCAGUAUCUGCCUGUUGUGCCAUUUAACAUAGGCAGCAUCAUGUCAUUCUCCUCCUGGCAUUUCAUUUCUUUGUUUUUUAUUAACUGGAACAAGAUACCAUGUAAAUUUGUCCUUAUGUUCUUUGUAUUUAUCCCUUUCGUAAUUUUCACUGAAAGGAGUGAUAUUUAAUUUAGAGCUUCGUAACUGAAACUCUUUCUUGCCUAAAUCUUUUCACGUCCUGCUUAAAGUAUCUAUCUCUGAUCUUCCAGUUACUCUGGCUAUUACUUUAUUAGCCUCUAUUAAAGCUAAUAAAGUAAUUGUCUCAUGUUUUGUCACUAGUUUUUCCUAUUUAUCCUUUUUCAGUACUCCUUUUCCUUUAUUUAGCUUGAUAUUAUCUAAAAUAUGUACACAUAACACCACAGUGGGUUAACACAAAAGAAAGUUAUGACAGGAACAUGCCUAUGCACUGGUUACCAGAAAUUUCACUAUUUCUGUGUUUGCCCGUUAUAUACUUACUACAGACAAACCAAUGGCAGUGAUUAUAAGUCUGGUGGUUGGUUGUGAGUACUGGUCAGCAUUCAUCAAUACCAUAUAUGCACUUCUGCUGCAUUUCCUUUUGCCCCUUAGGAAGUCUGACAGUCGGCAGAGUUAUCUUUUGCUGCGUGGGGCAUUCGUCCCCACAUGCUUCCGAAUACAUGGCAGUAGCAUCUCCUAACAGGAAGGUCUAACUCUAUCUUCUCCUGUGCGUAAACUAAACUGUUUGUUUGGUUUCAGGGCUGUGCAUAGGUAUUUGUCCAUGGCUCCUGGGCAUUCUUUUCAUAAGCAUGCUGAAAGCCCAGUCAACGCAUUAUCUCUUCAGAAGUUCAGUGCCCAAAACCUUGUAAUGGUUUCCACUUAGCUGUUCAACAUUUGUUUUAAAGCAACAGUUUACUUGUAGUGUUCAAAGAGCUGCUAUCUUGAAUCUUUUUGGUGUUCUGGUGCUAGUUGUACACUCUCUUAAAUGUUUGCUUUCAUUUCCUCAAUAUCUCACCAGAGCAGCUCAUAUGCCUCCCAAACACUGCAGUGGUUCUUCCUUGUGUUAGCUUCUUCUCUGCUGUAUUACAAUUCUGGUGUGCCUUGCCAUUUUCUUAACAUAGCUUUAGUUCAUCACACAGCUUCUGUCUAUCUGCCUGCUUCUCUAGCUCUUACAUACACACUGUAUCUUCAUCUCAAUGCUUUUCCCUGCAGAGCUUGAGUUAUGGAAUAUUUGUCUCUCAUAUAUAAAAUUUCCCCCACCUCUCUGCUGAGGUGGCUUGUUUUCUCCUUCAUAGACCCUGGGGAUCUUGUUAAACCUUCCACACGAGUAGUUCCAUCCCACUGUGACCAGGCUGCUUGAAGUCCUGCUAGCCUAAUUUGGAGCCUGUAGCUACACCAUGCUACAGCCACAUCUGACUGAUUAAAACUCCAAGUCUGCAACAAAACUGUCUAGAGCCUUGCUUGUCUCAGUGCAAAGCUGCAACAAAGGAUCAAGGAUUAUCCUGUCUGGGUACCUAACAUAUCAAUAAACUAAUCUUUAGGUUUAAUUUGUUUGUUUUCCUUCCAGCACAAAAUACUAAAUGCAAAUCAGAAAACAAAGGCAGUGGGUGUAGAAUUUCACUUAUCCCAUGGUGGACAGAUGAGAAGAGUGUGCAGGGGGGAGGAGGAGGUGUGGAUCAUAGGCUGAAAAAAGGAACUGGGACAGUGGAACAGGGAGAAUGACAUGGUGAAGCAGAAGCACGUUUCCAUAUUGAACUUUGAAUGCUUAAAGUUCCUUACACGUAAAGCCUGGGAGAUUAGGCACACCACUUUGCUGGGCUCACUCUGUGCAGUGCAAGGAGACCUGAAAUUAGUUGCAGAAAGUCUAUGGAGAAUCCCGUCUUUAUCCCAAUAUUAAUAGAGUGCCAUCUUUUAUUCUUCUCCUUUAUUCCCCUGUACACGUCCCUGUUUCUCCUACCUGUCAAAUUUCACCCAUCUAUAAUCUGUGGUCCCAGACUUUUCCUGAAGCUAUCAUAAUGCACUCUUCUCAAGCUUGCAGGUGAAUAAAUGCCAUGCCAGCUUCUGGAAUGGGCAGACUGUUCCCUGCUUGUUCGGUUUGGUUUGCUUUGCUGGAGUGUGGUAUUGUGAGUGUUUAAGUCCAUAGUUGCAUCUUUUUGCAACCUCAAUUCUGACAGCAGAACUGAUGUCCUUUUGCUUAGGAGGAGAACAUGGGCUACAGGGUAUAUGUUGUUUUUCAGACACAGAUUUUAUUAAUGUCACUGCAUUAACAUGAAAACAGGAAGAAACGUAAUUGCAACAACAAAAAAAUUUUGAAUAAAACACAGCAGUAGAAAUAUCACAGUUACAGCAGGACUUCUGUCACACUGAGCUAAUUUAUGCUUUAAUAUUAAAAAGGUGCUUUCACAUUAGUGCAGUAAAAGUGUGCAAAAGAAGGGAAGAAUAUUAUUUCCAAGCAAGAAAGUUUACUGUGAGGAUAAUUUUUGGUCUGUUCUUUAGCCUGUCUCUGGCUAUUAACCUAACAAGGUAGUGGCUAGAUUAUAAUAGCUGAUAGGGUAAAAGCUAACAACUAACAGAAGCAGUGCCUUGAGGGGGAAGAGUAUUUGCACCACCUAGAUUAAGGCAUCUGAUACCUAAACUAAGAGGCUGACAUUUCCAGGCUCCUUCUAUAAUCAGGCAGGUAAUCUUCCCCAGAGGCCAUUUAAAUUGUAUGUCUGCUUCUGACUAGGGCAUCUCUUUUUCUCUACUGACCACUGAGGGACCAUGAAGAGAUUUGCUGUCAAUUUAAGCAUGAGUCACGUGCCUAAUGUUAAGUAGUGUGGCAUCCUUUCUUGUCUCCUUACUUUGCUUGGAGGCUACUUGAACCUGCGCCUGGCCUCCAGAUUUCCAUGAGCAAGUCUUUAAUAUGCAUGGGCAGUGCCCUUUGAAGUAAAGGGAAAAAAAAAGCAGGACAGUUCACUUGCAUAAGGAGUGCUCAACUGCACUUCCUUACAGUUUGAAACAAGAAGUUCUGCACUAUGCCCCUGCCUCCUCUUCUUUGCUAACAUCAUGUCCCUAGAAUACCACUUUCUUUUACAGGGGAAACUCCUAAUUAUACAUAAAUGUAUGGCCACAGGACACCAGUAGACUAAAGGUCUGAAGUCUUCAAUUAACCUGCAGUUCUAACUGAGGCACCAGUUGGCUAUGGGCACUUUUCUCCUGGGAGGGCAAAGUGGGUAUGUCUCCUCUGCAGUCGGCUGCUUUUGGAGUUCCCAGGCUACUGUCUAACUAGAAGUGUAUCCCAAACAUCAGACUUGCUGUGUAUGUGAAGAGCAUGUUUUUCUCAUGCAGGAGCCUUGCCUGACACACUUAUGGUGUCUGCCAUGUAAAGUCUUCCUGUACACACAUGAUUUACCUGUCCGGACCUAGGGAUGCUUCCACUCAGUACUGUGCUCAUGGUCUCCAAAAUCCUUCAGAGGGUCCUGAUAUUUUUUCAUACAGAAUCCUGCAUACCAAGUACCAAGAAAGAAACAUCUUCUGCAGAAGCUGUAGCCCUUGACAAGAAGUUUGGUUUUGGCUCUAAAAUUAUCUAGGCAUGAACCUUCUGAAUAGGUGUGUUAGCAAAGGAAUCUCCAACUUUACCUCUGUUCUUGUGCUACCAGUCCUGGGAAAGAUCACAGAAGAAGUCAUCCUUGGAAAACCUAUCUGCUAGUUGCAUAAUCUGUGAGGGAGGUACCGCUUGGUUGUAUCAAAGAGAAGAAUCAAAAAAGAAUGAAAAAUUUCUGCAGAAAAACUGUCUUACUUCAGCUGAGGCUUUCUACAAGCUGUCACAACAUUACCACUGACAGAACUGAAGCAAGGAAACCAAACCAUGAUGUACUACUAUUACUCCAUCAACUGCUGAAUAUAAGAGAGAAUUAGCUUUUUCUGACAAUAAUACUGUUGCCUUAAAUUUUGAAUGUUAUAUGGAUACUGAAGUCAAGAUGUUGGGAUACACCCAGGGCACUGACAUAAUUUUCCUAAUUUCUUGAAGAAGUCUGUUUUCUCUUCCUGUGGAUGGGAGAGCUAGAGACAGUUCACUGUUGGCAAAAAUAUUGGUAAAAUUGCCAAGCAGAUUACCUAAAUAGAAAUGACUGGGCCUCAGCUGUAUGCCACUAAGACCAUAGCAAAGAUUAAGCAUUGUCCCUGCAGUUCAUCUCAUACUCUAGGCCUCCCAUGUGGAAGGAGAAAAGCUGACUUCAGUCCCUGUGUCAAAGCAUGUUUAAGAUUUUCAGGCAAAGCAGGACAGCACAAGGAGGGAAGGUGCAUACCGGUGGAGUUCUUUCCUAUUCCACUGGUGUGCUUCAGCCUGCCUUUUUAUGGUGAAAUUGGACAAAGUAGAUGUUUUGUGUUGAAAAAGGAGUUCAAUAAGUGUAUUACUGAGUCCUGUGCAGUUAGAUUCCUCUUGAGCGUCCUCAUCCACGGUAGCCCUCAGCAGACAUUUUGCCGACCGUCCUCAAGCUUACAGGGAUGGGUGUGUCGCACCUUUGGUUGAGCACAAGGAGGAGCACACAGGAGGACUUUGCAAGGUCUGUUAGUAGGUAAUUCAUUCCAGACUCCUUCAAACUGAAUGUUAUAGGCUGUAGGAAUCUCUCUCCCACCCUUAGCUGGUAAUAGGCUAGCUAGUCUAAGGGCUCCCUCUAUAGCCAAAAGAUAGGGGUAGGUAUUUGCAGACGGUAACAGACUGUCUUAAGCUACUCCACCUUAGUCUAGAAUGAAUCACCAUAUGGAGGGGCUAUCUUUAGUGAUAGAAAGAGGCUAGACAAUGAGUUCAGACUAGACAGCUAACCUGUACAUUAAUAGAAAUGAGUUGUAGCCCAAUCACAUGUUUCAGAUAACCUGAAUGAAAUCUUUGGGGCUUUUGGUGAUGAGAAACCAUUCUUUAUUUUAGGAAAAGAUCAAGCCAAAUAUUUUCAAUUUGUUGUUCUUUGGGGCUGGGGUCGGUUUUUAGCAGGUAAGCCUGAUAAUGCUGUCUACAUCCUUUACUGAAGAGGAAGAGACCUAUGCUGUAGAUCUAAAGACCAGUCCUGCUGAUGAGCCAUCCAGAAGCAGGAACAGAUUUAGUGGUGCACUGUGAAGACUGUACCCUGCUCAUGCCCAUGAGAACGGUAUGUGCUUCUCAUCAGGUCACAGAAGUAAGGCUGCAAAGGCCAUCCUGGUUUUCCCCUAUCUUCUCAUACCCAUGCAGGUGUUCUAAAGGGGCACUGUGUUUUGGAAGAGGUAGGAAGAUACAUGAAAGCAACAUACAGUUUCUAUUGAUGGCGUAUGAAAGUUGUAUUAUCAGCUGCCCAGGUGUCAUAGUACUUCCUCACAGCUUUAGGGCAUUUCACACAGCCUUGGAGAAGUAAGUACUUGACAACUGAGAUGUAAGUAAAUUGAGAGUUCAACAUAUUCUUAAGAUACUCUUGAGUUGCUCACAGGAAGAGCUACACAAGGAAAUAUCAAUGUAAUCUGUCCUUCAGUUCAGUUUGCAGGAUCCAUCGUCCCAGCUGAGGGAUGGGUUAUUUGGGGUUCUUUUUACUACAUUUCACUAGCGUGCAGGACCAGCCCCUAUUUAACGUACACUACCUGUACCUUUCUUGGACUGCAGAAUUUUGCUUUUCUCUCAUGAUUGUGUCUCUAGUUCUAUUAGGGUAGUAUCUGAUUGCUUCACAGAUAUUACAGUAUUUGUCUUCUGACCACGUUUAUGAGAUGAAUCAAUACAAUUAUUUCUGUUUUGCAAUGAGGAAUCUGAAGUGCCAAGAUUAUGAAUAAACAGUCAAGCAUCUAUUGAUUUGGGGAACCUGGUUUGAGAACUGUUUUUCUCCAAAGCAAAGUAUUAUGCUGGGGUGUGGUUCCCAUCUGUUGUAGCUGCUGGUUCUGGGUCUUCACAUUGGGCCCUGGAACAUGAGGAACACAACCUCAGAGGCCAUCUAUGAAAAUCUAAGCUUAAGUGGAAAGGGAAGGUCCUUAAUUUAUGGGCUCGAAGUAGACAAGGGUAGGUAGGAUAAAUUCAGGCCUAAGUGCCUAAAUCCCUUGGCGGAACUUGUGUCUGCCAUGUGACAAGGUUGCAGAUUCCAGUAGUAUUUGUGGCAUAGGACUUGGCAUCUCUGAAAUGUAAGUCUUCCCUGAUUUUGCUUCCCAGGUGUCUGUGGGACUGCUCAGUGAAACUGAAUUCAAAAGAGACAACCAGCCCCAGAUAGUCUUCAGUCUUCUCAGAGACUGGCCUCACACUCCCAUGCAUCUGUCUGGUGGAGACUUUUUUAUUUCUGAGAAACUUCCCAUGGAGGGUCCAGCAGCCUGAAGCCAGCUUGGUAGCCAUACUACACUGAUUUAUAGAUGUACUGAAUCUGAUCCUAAUCACCUUCCAACAGGUUUUCUGUACAGGGUGGAGACACCAUUUCCUUAGUAGCUUAUGCAGAGAAAACAUAAGAAAACAGUGGCUUUUUGUAAGUCAGCAAAACCUUUUUUCUCACAGUCCACAGCAAACUAACCACACCACAGAGUGUGAUACCACAGACUAUGCAUCCUGUUGUCCAUCCCCAGCAAAAGAGGAUCACUGGUUCUUCUGUACUAUGGUGUGGUAAAUUUCAUUGCUUUCUCUCUCUUUUUUUAAAAAGGCAGUACUAAUUGCGUAUAAUGGGAAUGGAAGACCUAGCUUACAGCAGCUUUGUCCACAAUUGAGAUAUUUUAUACCUGCUUUGUUAGUUGAAUGGUUGUGGAUAGGCUGUUUGUGCCACUGUGCAAAGCAGUAUCAGUGUUAGCAGGUGUGAUAUGAAGCCAAGUCCGUCUGUAUUUGUGAAACUCUCAGAUCAUAUUGCAAUAAUUGUUUUAUGCCAGUAUAUUUAGCACAUUUAGCACACUAGCACAAACUAGUUUGCCAUUCUUCUUGGAAGAGAUUGUGUAAGUGUUAAGAUGAAAGCAAGCCACAAAUGAGAGAUAAAAAUAACUUCAACUGAAAAGCCAUCUGAGAAAGAGAAUUCAAAGGAAAGCUGGUAUUUCUGCCUAAGUUGUACUAACAAGCAUAUGCUGGGAUAAAACCCUACACAAAGCUUUAAGUAAUUCUUAGGGAAAAAAUAUAUUAGCAUUGGCUGAAGUACACUUGGAUUCACCUGAAAUCACAAAACCAAACUAUUGCUGGCGUGUUUCUUCAGGGAAUUAACAUCAUACACUGAUGCCCCAUUUUACAAGACUUCUUCAAGUCACAAUAUAUUUUCAAUCUUAUUAGUACUUGUCCUUGGAUAGUGGAGAUGUUUAAUGUCUGUUACUGUUUUUCACAAUGAUGAGGGACCAUUUCUUAUCUCCUAGUUGUUUAUAUGUUAAAUGCAUUAAACACACAGUGCUCACCACCAACACUUCCAACUUCCCUCCCUUCACUCAUUUCAAUUAAAAGACUGUCAGGUAGGUCUAAGCCCAACAAUCUUGUGGUUUUUUUCUCUGAAAUCAGGGAGUCUUUCCUGGGAUAUAGCCUAACAUUUUCUCUGCCUGAGAAAAAAGCCCAGAAAAAUUAGUGCCAAGGGCUCUGGACAUGAGCAACCUGUAUCAGAAAGCUGUGGCAAGUGAAAACACAAUUUAUCAGUUGGCUUGAGAAUCAGUGUGAAGAAGAACAGGAUGACCCAUUAGGAGGGGAGACAGGCUGACCAGCUGACACUGGAGUGCACUGGGAUGGGUGAGCGAGGAUACCUGAUUAUCUUCUCCAGUUCAAGAGAAUGAAAGGAACUGCUGACAAAGGGAGAGAAAGAAGUUGGGCAUGGAAAUCAUGUAAGGGCCCCCAGAGUUUCAGCCAGACCUCUGAGAUUUUCAGGUUCUUAAAGAAAGUUGAAGCCAGGCAAGUUUCAGAAUUUAGUGGCAUUAUGAGGUCAUUUCAGCAGAAAAUUGUAAACCACAGAAAGUUCUGUGUCUCACUUCUGGGUUAAUUUAUUAAUGCAGUUGGGGUUUGCAUUGGAUAAUGUAUUUGGGUUAUAAUGUAUUUCUAAUUGAGAAGAACAAAACCCACACAAGGUAUCAGAAAGAAGACAGCAUUUCUAUAGCUAAGAUUCUAGUGUAACGACUACAGGUAGUUAUAGUUGUGGCCACAAAUGAGCAAUAUAAUUGACUUUGGCUGGUCCAACUCUUCUCCUUUAUAUUUUUAUCUUAAUUAAGAGGAGAAGGUAAUAAGUAGUUCUUAUUUGGAUCUUUUAACACUGAUGUCAAGCCCUGGAAAAUGUUAUACCCGAUGACUAUUGCAUCCUGCCUCACUGAAUUCAGUGGUGGAUCUCAAACAUGUGAUAGAACCUGGCUUUAAAUUGUUUAUCAUAUACAGACCUGUGAAAUCUCAGGCUUUCAGGGUGAGGCACUCUUUCACCCCUGUUUUGGGUUUCCCCAAAGUGGUGCCAUGCCUCAUAAAUUUGCAGUGCCACACCCAGCCUGUCUACCAAGGCACUCAAUGCUGCCUAGCUGGCCUCAUGUGUGGAGCAAAUGUAAUGCUCACAGUUCUGUUAUUGGCAAAAAGGAAACACCUUACACGUAAACCCGGGAAUUUAUUGUUAGUAUAAUUGAACUUUUAGCACUCUAAUCCAACAAUCAUUAUUAGUUCAGAUCUAAUUACCUCAGAAAAAGAAAGAAAAGAGAAAAAAGUUAAAAAUACAUACUUCUGGGCAGGAAUAUCCUAAUAAUAACAAAAAUAAUAGUUAAAUUUGUUGUAUACACAAUUCCUAGUUUAUACCCCUUUUCUAAGCAUAAAGCUUUUACUCUUCCACUGCUCCUCCAGUCAUAAGGCUGACAGCUUCAGCCUGUUGAUCCCUCAUGAAAGGGUCCCUCUACACCUCAUCCUCUGUCCCUAUUUCUCAAGGCCUCUGCUGUCAUACUAGGACUGUUCUUCUCUGUGUUGCAGCGUCAUGUUAGAGUCAUGUCAGGAAGAAUAACUACUUUCUGCUACUAUCUGUAUAAAACCUGUGGUUGUGCCACACAAAGGUAAGCAGAACUAGGACAAGUUAAAUAUAGGCACCUGCUCAGAAGAACUGCUGUUGCAGCUAAACCAAGCAAAAAUAAAGCUUCAGGCAGGUCAGGAUGAGUUCAAACAAAGCCAGGCUGGCAAGCCUCAGUUCUGAGGCCUUGCACACGCAGUACAAAGCAUGUGGCCUGGCAAUAGCAAAACCAAUAUUGUACUACUGAAUGAAAUAACCAUAUUACUGGGUGACAGGUCUGUAGAAGACACUUAGAAAGCACAGUCUCCAUUCACAGGAUUAAGAAGUCUCUCCCUUGUUACAUCCACCUGGAACAAGAGGUAAUACUCAGUGAAUAUUUCACAAGACAAUACUAAGAAUUUACAGUAACAUAUUUCAGGAAAUUUUCACAUUUUUGAGCUGGAGAUAGUGAGGCCAGAGGAGUUCAACAACAUCUUUUUCACUCACCAACCUUCUGCGCAGGGCAGCUUUGCUCAACCCCAGCUCUUGAGAGCCAACAACCUGGCAGGACAAAGGCACAGACUCACCCUCUAGCAUGUUUACAGCAGAAAAUAAAUCAAGGUACUAGAGAAGCUCCUGAAACAGCAGAAGUAGUCCUUAGGACUGGGAAGUAGUCCUUAGGAGUGGGAAGGCUGUGCCCCAGAAGAAAGAAAAAGGGGCAAGGAAACUGAAAGCUCAAGAGCAUAUUACAGUGGGUUGAAAUUUCGGAGUAGGAGAGUGGCUAAAACAGCUCCUGGAAUUAAGAGCAGUGCCAGGUCAUAACUUCAUGUUUCCCCCUCCUGCUGAGACAUGAUGGUCUUUCACUUUACAACUUUAUCAUCUACCAUGCAACAACUGUUGUGGACAUAUUUUUUUCCAUAUUCUUUUUCAACACCCUGUCUGGGUUCCCAGCAGUUGGUGGCACUAUUUGGUUUUGUCACAAAUCUCCCAUUCUAGCCGCAGACUCUGAGGCUUCUUCAUGUGUCCCAUGCCCCUGCUGUCACAGACUACUGACAUCCAUGUCCCUAAACUGCUGAAGAACCUGAGAGACUCUCCAAAAGCGAGUCCUGGGGAUGUUUUGGCACACAGGCUGUAAUAAGCGGAGAAAUGUGUUUGUAUUCACAGUUACAGGUGCAUCUGAGCUACAUCCAGGACCAGCAGCCAUAUGACCUGUUAGUCAUAGCGCUCAGCUGCUUAUCAUCCUGAUCACAGCAGAACACUUUUUUGACCUCACAGGUUUGUGUCUCUGAAGCAGUCUCUCUGCGUAUUUAUUGUAUUUACUGUGUUGGCACAUUUCUUAUUUUGAAAGUGACUUUGUUAAUCUAUUCAGGACCCUGAACUGCCCAUUGUAGAAAUUGCACUGGAAAAAGUAGUUAUUUCUAGCACCUAAAGCACACUUUUUCCAGGUCUUUGCCAUCUAGUAGUGUGUGUGACUUGUGAGCUAACCUUGUUUUUGUGAAAUAAUCUGCAGCGUCUUUUGAAUGUCAGACAGCAUUUACCAAGUAGCCUAACCUCUUGAGAGUGUGUGGUCCCAGGGCUGGAAAGCCCCCAGUGACAGGGGUCUGCCUGGAGAUCGCUGCCAUCAGCAUCUAAUGGGCAGCAAAGAACAGCAGGUAGGAGCGUGAAUAAAUUUUUCAGCUCUUCAAAGGCAUAUAAUCAUGGUUUCCCAAAAUCACUGAGAAGAUUAGGUUAAGUAAUUCAGUGUUAUAAGAUGAAGUUCAAUGUGAUUUUUUUUUCCAGAGCUGUAUCAUCCUGAAGUAUCGAAUGAUUUCUAACAUCAUUUCAACAGGUGUUUUCUAUGGGUUGAUUCCCACAUUUUUCAUACUGCUUAAGCAUCUUAAAUGAGAGUUCUACCUGUGUUUUUCUACUUAGUUUUAAUCUAGGAGCUUGAGCAGAUGCAGCCAAAAAAAAAAAAAAAAAGUUGAAUAAAUGAAACUCCAGUAUUUAGUCAGUAAUUAACAUCCAAUUUUCUUCUCUGGAAGUGGAAGAGGCAAGGAAAGUAGACAUCAUCUACAGCUUCUGUGCAUUGUCUCCCUUAACCUUCUGUUACUCUUCCCACAUAGCCCCUUAGCUAGGUCACAUCCUCUGUGCCUGCUAGACGAUAAGAGCAAAUCCAGAUGCCAACACAGAACAAACCAGCACUUUACCCUGCUCUCACACAAGGUGCAGCUCUUCAUUCUUCCUUAUGGAAAGAGGAGGGCUUUGUGGGGCCAAAGAGAUAGAGAGCAAGAGUGUGCACCACCUCCAAAUACUGCCCCUGAAUAGGCAGAACCUCAGUUUAAGGAAAUUUUCUUCCUGUAGAAUGAUCUCCCAUGUUCACUUUUUUUAAUCUCCCAGGAGCCCUCAUCAAACCAGGUUUCUCAUGACCCUAGCUGGGGGAGAUGGGCCAAAUGUGAUGCAUCUAAAAUUCAGUGUCACAUCUUAAGAUUGGGCUGUCCCGUGCCGUAUCAGACAGAGAAAGAGCCUUCAGAAGGGAAAAGCAUCCUAAGAAUCUGCAGUCUUGAUCUGUGAGAGAUUGACUGCCUGAGCAGAGGAUGGGUUGUUUGGAUCUCCCCUUCUGGAUUCUUAAAUUCCAGUCUUUCAAACACAGCAGUGGAAGACAAGGAGGAGGAGGAGGAAGAAACUCUGCAGUCAGUCCAACAAAACCUGUGUUUUUUACUUCUUUGGUUAAGGCUUCACAUACUGUCCUGGUUUCAGCUGGGAUAGAGUUAAUUUUCUUUGUAGUAGCUAGCAUGGGGCUGUGUUUUGGAUUUUUGCUGGAAACAGUUGUGAUAAUGUGGAGAUGUUUUAGUUGCUGCUAAGUAGCACUUACACUGGUCAAGGACUUUUUCAGCUCCCCGUGCUCUGCUGGGUGUAGAAGCUGGGAGG
Molecule: non-coding RNA, 14733 nt
Organism: Phalacrocorax carbo (great cormorant)
Lineage: Eukaryota; Metazoa; Chordata; Aves; Suliformes; Phalacrocoracidae
Source: RefSeq, a predicted model, not a curated record